GGCAGCCCCAAUUGGUAGUAGUGGAAGUGGUAGCUUUGAUGACCACGAUGAACCAGGAAUUGAUUGCUCUAAUGACGAGGAUGAACAGAGAAUUGGUAGCUAUGAAAAUGAACCAGGAAGUUAUAGCUCUGAUGACGACGAUGAACCAAUCAGCAAAAGAUUAAAGAAAGUGUAAAUUAUUUUGUGCUUGCUUCAAUCAUUCAAUGGGUCUGAAUAUAAUACUGGAAAGGCUAAUGACGUUGGUGAAUUCUCAGAAUUCAUCUCAGAAGAUAUGCUGUUUGUUUUAGUUGUUUAAUUUGCUCGCAAAUUUAUUAUUCUGAUUGAGUUGUUUGUUUAAUCGUAAUGUUUUCUUUUUCUUCUUCUUUCUCUUGUUACAUUUCAGUUAUAUAGUUUUCCAUUUCCAAAGACAUAAAUGCAGGAUAUGCUAUAACGCGUAUAAAUACCUUCUUAUACCCACCGUCUUACCCUUUUCGCACUUUCGCCCAACUCCCCGAACUCAGCGCUCUCUCUCAUUCGCGCUCUCUUUCUCUCUCCCUCCCUCUCGUUCAUUUUCUCCAUAGAAAUGGAACUGAGCUCUCUCUCCGCUGGGUUUCUCUCUCUCUCAUAUCAGUUAACGGCUCGUGUCUAAUUGAGCAAAUACCUUCAUCAAUUGAACAUCUUGUUGGCCUUGGUGAAUUGCAUAUAAAUUGUUGCAAAAGUAUCUUGGGUCUACCCUUUGAAGUCUCUUAAAAUCCUCUGGGGGCUAAGUUGCUCAAAGCUUGACAAACUUCCAGGGGACUUGGAGUCUUUAGAGGAACUUUAUUUAGACGGAAGUGCUAUGAGAGAGCUGCCGCUUGUUAUGAAAAACCUCAAACGUCUAAGCUUUGCUAAAUCAUCAACUUCAAGGGAUGGCAUUGGGUGGGGCCUUGGCCGUUCAUUUGGAAUUAGAAAGAGUCAUCCUGACCCCUGGGGUUUGGUGUUGUCUUCUCUAAAUCAUUUAUGCUCUUUGACAAGUUUAAACCUAAGAGAUUGUAAUAUUGGUGAAGGUGUCAUUCCCGAUAAUAUUGGUAACUUCUCUUCUUUAGAAUAUUUAAGACUUCGUGUAAACAAUUUUGUUAACCUUCCCACGAGCAUUACAUUCCUUUAUAAGCUUAAGUCUCUGGACUUGAGGCGGUGCAAAAGGCUUGAGCAAUUGCCAGAUCUUCCGUUAACGACAUUAUUUGUAUAUGUAGACGAUUGCACUGCCUUAAAAAGGUUGUCUGAUCCAUCUAAAGCUGAGCGAAGGAGCCAAUGUGUAUGAUUUUGAGUUCACUUGUCUUAAUUGCUUCAGAUUGGCCGAAGAAGGCUGGAUUAAUGGAAUAUUUGCAAUGAUAAUGAUUCCUCUCUGUACCUUUUUGUAUGGCCUGGCAGUGAAAUUCCAGAUUGGUUCGAUAAUCGAAGUGUGGGAGAUUCAAUAACUGUGGAGCUGCCUCUGCCACUACCUCCACAAUCAUCAUGUAGCAGCGACUGGGCUGGGAUUGCUUUAUGUGUUUUUUUUGAAGAUUCUGAAUAUUUGCAAAAUCCAGCCGCCCUUGUUGGAUAUUUUUUUUCAAAAUUCAACGUUUGCUGGGUCCAUCUGAGACUUUUGAAUUUAGGGAUCAUAGGUCAUAACACCUUUGGGUUUUUCGUUUGCCUCGCAAUCAUCCCAGCUUCAUGGAUGCCUCAAGCAGUCAUCGGUUUUCAUUCGAAGCACAUUAUUGUGCAUACAGAUCUUCCAACACACUCAAAACAAGCUCGAAUUUAAAGGAAUGUGGGGCCCGUUUGGUGUAGGAGAGAGAUUUGAAAUAAUUGAGCCGUUUGGUGUACGGUGACGAGGCAGGCCCAAUUGGUAGUAGCGGAAGUGGUAGCUCUGAUGACGAAAUUGAACCAGGAAGUGAUAGCUCUGAUGACAACCAUGAACCUGGAAUUGGUAGCUCUGAUGACGACAAUGAACCAGGAAAUGAUAGCUCUGAUGACGACGAUGAACCAAUCAUCAAAAGAUUCAUGAAAGUCUAAAUUAUUUUGUGCUUGGUUCAGUCAUUCAAUGAGAUGAAUCGGGAGAAACUUAUGAAGAUGGCCGGUGCAGUUCGCACUGGUGGAAAGGGUAGCAUGAGGAGAAAGGAGAAGGCUGUUCACAAGACAACUACCACAGACGACAAAAGGCUUCAGAGCUCCAUUAAGAGAAUAGGGCGUGAACGGUAUCCCUUGAAUCAAGUUAACAUCUUUAUGGAUGAUGUUGUCAUCCAGUUCAUAAACCCCAGAGGUGAAGCCAACAUGCCAGACCAGAACUCUGAUCUUAGUUGCAAGAUAUUCUUUCCAGUAUAUUAUCAGCCACUUGGGGCCAGAUAACUUGGACAAUUUGAUGAAACUGUCAGAGCAGUUCCAGAAGCAAGCGGCAAGCGCCUGGUGCUAGUGCUGCUGGUGGAACCACUGCACAAGAGGAUGAUGAUGACCUGGUCCCUGUGCUUGUUGCUGGUGAGACCUUUUAAGCCUUCUGAUUCUGGAGUUGUGGCAACGAAACCCGUCCACAAACAUACUUUUAUUUCACUCUACUUUCCUCAUCAAGCUUAGCAAACAUUGGGCUGUUUUUCCUUUUUUUGUUAUCUCAAUUCCUUUCUGCUUUAAUAUAUCACUUUGGAUAAAAA
Prunus avium (sweet cherry) is the source of this 2642-nucleotide non-coding RNA. The record is from RefSeq and is a predicted model, not a curated record. Lineage: Eukaryota; Viridiplantae; Streptophyta; Magnoliopsida; Rosales; Rosaceae.